UAAUAAAUUAGCUUAGGUGGUGCAGUAUUCUAGUCGGCUAUACCUCUUUUGAAGGCGGGGCUAAAAAUUCGUCAAAGGGCACAUCGAUGAAGCUUCUUGUGCUGGCUCGUUACGCCCAGUUAUGGGUUGGUGCUGGGAGUAAGAGAAGUGGGGCGACCGCAAUGGCAUGCGCAAUCGACCCUACUUUUCGUGGAGACCUAUCUUCGUGGAUAACUAGAUUACUCUACGGUAUAGGAUUAAACCUGCAUAGUGGUUAGAAAUAGCUACUUGCAGUGUAGCCUGCCUUGAGUGAAAUUGGCGGAGGGUGGAUCAGACUAUUACUUUCAGGGCCCGAAGGUAAUAGUUAUUGCUACAGGAAACCAAUUUUGCAAAAGAGGCUAGGAAGAGGCUAUGUCGUUUGGGAAAACCACUAGACUGUUCAACUAGUUAAUAGAAGUGAUAAAGUAGGGAUUGCAGUGCGGACUAAGUGGCAAUCUAGCCCUAUACUUGGCAACGAUGUAGAUUUUCGGUUAAAGGGAAACCACCAUUAUGGCGACAUGUGGUCUCGAAAAUGGGAAAGCCUGCUAGACCUAAGCCGCAAACUUAACCUACUUUAUUACCACCUAAGGGUAUUAUAUA
Molecule: small RNA, 618 nt
Filed under: Clostridium cylindrosporum DSM 605
Lineage: Bacteria; Bacillati; Bacillota; Clostridia; Eubacteriales; Clostridiaceae
Source: RNAcentral